RNAcentral lists this ribosomal RNA (490 nucleotides) under uncultured bacterium. RNAcentral describes it as "partial 16S ribosomal RNA". It matches the Rfam family "Bacterial small subunit ribosomal RNA", at positions 30 to 507 of the family's 1533-position model. The record is from RNAcentral.
AUUGAACGCUGGCGGCAGGCCUAACACAUGCAAGUCGAACGGUAACAGGAAACAGCUUGCUGUUUCGCUGACGAGUGGCGGACGGGUGAGUAAUGUCUGGGAAACUGCCUGAUGGAGGGGGAUAACUACUGGAAACGGUAGCUAAUACCGCAUAACGUCGCAAGACCAAAGAGGGGGACCCUCGGGCCUCUUGCCAUCGGAUGUGCCCAGAUGGGAUUAGCUUGUUGGUGGGGUAACGGCUCACCAAGGCGACGAUCCCUAGCUGGUCUGAGAGGAUGACCAGCCACACUGGAACUGAGACACGGUCCAGACUCCUACGGGAGGCAGCAGUGGGGAAUAUUGCACAAUGGGCGCAAGCCUGAUGCAGCCAUGCCGCGUGUAUGAAGAAGGCCUUCGGGUUGUAAAGUACUUUCAGCGGGGAGGAAGGGAGUAAAGUUAAUACCUUUGCUCAUUGACGUUACCCGCAGGAGAAGCACCGGCUAACUCCGUG